GUAAUCCCGCCUUGUGGGUAGGUCAUCCACAGGUAAGACCGUCCAAAGGGCGGCGCCUACCCACUCCCGAAAGGGAAAAGGCGGGAAGGAGGU
This 93-nucleotide non-coding RNA is filed under the name unclassified sequences. RNAcentral describes it as "DUF1874 RNA". It matches the Rfam family "DUF1874 RNA". Rfam says of the family: Hot springs metagenome only. Environment (Bison Hot Springs, Yellowstone) The record is from RNAcentral.